RNAcentral lists this ribosomal RNA (686 nucleotides) under uncultured Nitrososphaerota archaeon. RNAcentral describes it as "bacterial SSU rRNA". It matches the Rfam family "Archaeal small subunit ribosomal RNA", at positions 65 to 755 of the family's 1478-position model. Lineage: Archaea; Thermoproteati; Nitrososphaerota. The record is from RNAcentral.
UAUGAAUAAUACGUGGCGAACGGCUCAGUAACACGUAGUCAACAUGCCCAAAGGACGUGGAUAACCUCGGGAAACUGAGGAUAAACCGCGAUAGGUCAUAAGUACUGGAAUGUUUUAUGGCUCAAAUCUACAUGGCCUCUGGAUUGGACUGCGGCCGAUCAGGCUGUUGGUGAGGUAAUGGCCCACCAAACCUGUUACCGGUACGGGCUCUGAGAGGAGGAGCCCGGAGAUGGGCACUGAGACAAGGGCCCAGGCCCUAUGGGGCGCAGCAGGCGCGAAACCUCUGCAAUAGGCGAAAGCUUGACAGGGUUACUCUGAGUGAUUCCCGCUAAGGGAAUCUUUUGGCAUCUCUAAAAACGAUGCAGAAUAAGGGGUGGGCAAGUCUGGUGUCAGCCGCCGCGGUAAUACCAGCACCCCGAGUGGUCGGGACGAUUAUUGGGCCUAAAGCAUCCGUAGCCGGUCUUGCAAGUCUUCCGUUAAAUCCACCUGCUUAACAGAUGGGCUGCGGAAGAUACUACAAGACUAGGAGGCGGGAGAGGCAAGCGGUACUCAGUGGGUAGGGGUAAAAUCCUCUGAUCCAUUGAAGACCACCAGUGGCGAAGGCGGCUUGCCAGAACGCGCUCGACGGUGAGGGAUGAAAGCUGGGGGAGCAAACCGGAUUAGAUACCCGGGUAGUCCCAGCUGUA